RNAcentral lists this ribosomal RNA (502 nucleotides) under uncultured bacterium. RNAcentral describes it as "partial 16S ribosomal RNA". It matches the Rfam family "Bacterial small subunit ribosomal RNA", at positions 28 to 523 of the family's 1533-position model. The record is from RNAcentral.
GAUGAACGCUAGCGGCAGGCCUAACACAUGCAAGUCGAGGGGCAGCACAGAAACAGCAAUGUUUUGGUGGCGACCGGCGGACGGGUGCGUAACGCGUAUGCAACCUACCUUUAACAGGGGGAUAACGGAGAGAAAUUUCCACUAAUACCCCAUAACAUCGAUCAAGGCAUCUUGAUUGGUUGAAAACUCCGGUGGUUAAAGAUGGGCAUGCGUUGUAUUAGGUAGUUGGUGAGGUAAUGGCUCACCAAGCCUACGAUACAUAGGGGGACUGGGAGGUUAGCCCCCCACACCGGUACUGAGACACGGACCAGACUCCUACGGGAGGCAGCAGUGAGGAAUAUUGGUCAAUGGGGGCAACCCUGAACCAGCCAUGCCGCGUGCAGGAAGACGGCUCUAUGAGUUGUAAACUGCUUUUAAACAGGGAUAAAGCACAGUAUGUAUACUGUGUUGAAGGUACUGUAAGAAUAAGGAUCGGCUAACUCCGUGCCAGCCGCCGCGGUAA